Molecule: long non-coding RNA, 1022 nt
Organism: Rosa rugosa (rugosa rose)
Lineage: Eukaryota; Viridiplantae; Streptophyta; Magnoliopsida; Rosales; Rosaceae
Exons: 3
Source: RefSeq, a predicted model, not a curated record
CCAAUUCUCUCCCGAGCCCAGAUUUGUUCCUCUCUCUUCCACCGGCCAUAUCUCCCUCCACAGACCUCCGAUCGACUUGAUUCCAAAAGUAUUUUCAUUCGCCUUGAAGUCAGUUAAAACUUCCUAGAAGACAUCAAAGUGAUAAAAGAACCAUGGAAGGUGCUAGGAGGCCGAGAAGCUGCACAGCUCGAGCUGGAAUUCGCCCGAUGCUGCUCUUCCUUCACCGGCCGAUAUCUCUCUCAUCCAACCUCGAAUCGAGUUGAUUCCAAAAGGGAUUUUGCUGGGCCUGAGCUAUAUUACAACUUUGUAGAAGACAUCGAGGGGAAAUAACCAACGUGGUAGCCGCUACAAGUCGAAGAACACGGUGCAGUCGAGCUGGAAAUCACCUCCUUUCCCCACCGUCGUUCUCCCUCCUCCGGCCACCUUUUGCCGUGAUUCUUGAGAGGAUUCUGCACUUCUGAGGAUGUAGAUCAUUUCCCCUAAGGUGGAUUGCAUCGAUUUCAUCUGUGGAGAUCGAAUUGGAACGAAUUCAAAACUAGGGUUCUUCGGGUUUCAAACCUUAUAAGGUGAUUGACGGUCUCCCUUGGGUGAACGAUUUCGGUGUGUAUUGUGUUAAAUUGAAGACGCAGCGGGAAUAUCGAGCGGGUAAUCCUGCAGGUCAGGAGAAUCAGGGCGGUGAUCGAGCGGGUUAGAGUAUUUGUUAUAGUUUUACAGCAAUUGUAAUUGUGAGGUGAGUUAUGCUCAUUUGAGCCUUACAAUAUAAUUUGGUGAGAGUGUGCUGUAAUAAACAAACUUGAGGAUUUGAUUUAUUGUAAUAUUGAGAGGUGUGAAGUGUGGUUGUUUGUGAGAAAAAAAUUCAGGACGUUAAUUGUAAUUGUUAUUAUUCAUGUUUCGGAUUUGAAUUGAUUAUUCAAAAUUCGGGGCGUGACAAAGAUUAUUUAGUAAUUUAACGAAUCAUCCCAACAAAAUAAAUAGACAAUUACCACAUAUAUAUUGUAAUCCAAGAGAGAGAAUAUCUCCUU